RNAcentral lists this ribosomal RNA (588 nucleotides) under uncultured bacterium. Its description in RNAcentral is "partial 16S ribosomal RNA". It matches the Rfam family "Bacterial small subunit ribosomal RNA", at positions 355 to 1375 of the family's 1533-position model. The record is from RNAcentral.
UGGGGAAUUUUGGACAAUGGGCGAAAGCCUGAUCCAGCAAUGCCGCGUGUGUGAAGAAGGCCUUCGGGUUGUAAAGCACUUUUGUCCGGAAAGAAAUCCUUGGCUCUAAUACAGUCGGGGGAUGACGGUACCGGAAGAAUAAGCACCGGCUAACUACGUGCCAGCAGCCGCGGUAAUACGUAGGGUGCAAGCGUUAAUCGGAAUUACUGGGCGUAAAGCGUGCGCAGGCGGUUUGCUAAGACCGAUGUGAAAUCCCCGGGCUCAACCUGGGAACUGCAUUGGUGACUGGCAGGCUAGAGUAUGGCAGAGGGGGGUAGAAUUCCACGUGUAGCAGUGAAAUGCGUAGAGAUGUGGAGGAAUACCGAUGGCGAAGGCAGCCCCCUGGGCCAAUACUGACGCUCAUGCACGAAAGCGUGGGGAGCAAACAGGAUUAGAUACCCUGGUAGUCCACGCCCCCAAAACGAUGUCAACUAGUUGUUGGGGAUUCAUUUUCCUUAGUAACGUAGCUAACGCGUGAAGUUGACCGCCUGGGGAGUACGGUCGCAAGAUUAAAACUUAAAUGAAUUGACGGGGUCAUAGCUGUUUCCU